This 124-nucleotide small RNA is filed under the name Marmota monax (woodchuck). Lineage: Eukaryota; Metazoa; Chordata; Mammalia; Rodentia; Sciuridae. The record is from RNAcentral.
GCUGGGCACAGUGUCGCCCGCCUGUAAUCCUAGCCCUUGGGAGGCUGAGGAAGGAGAAUCACGAGUUCAAAGCCAACCUCAGCAAAAGCAAGGCACUAAGCAACUCAGUGAGAACCUGUCUCUA